UACGGAGGGUGCAAGCGUUGUCCGGAUUUAUUGGGUUUAAAGGGUGCGUAGGCGGCCCGUUAAGUCAGUGGUGAAAGCCUCCAGCUCAACUGGAGAACUGCCAUUGAUACUGACGGGCUUGAGUACAGACGAGGUUGGCGGAAUUGAUCGUGUAGCGGUGAAAUGCAUAGAUACAAUCAAGAACUCCGAUUGCGUAGGCAGCUAACUAGGCUGUAACUGACGCUGAGGCACGAAAGCGUGGGGAGCGAACAGG
This 253-nucleotide ribosomal RNA is filed under the name uncultured bacterium. RNAcentral's name for it is "partial 16S ribosomal RNA". It matches the Rfam family "Bacterial small subunit ribosomal RNA", at positions 524 to 776 of the family's 1533-position model. The record is from RNAcentral.